Non-coding RNA from Xyrichtys novacula (pearly razorfish), 1534 nucleotides. The record is from the annotation of a GenBank genome assembly. NCBI's taxonomy places the organism in Eukaryota, Metazoa, Chordata, Actinopteri, Labriformes, Labridae.
UGUUAUUGAAAUGAUGUCGAGAACUGAAAAUGAAACAAAAGUUUCAAUGAAAGUCUUAAGGAAUGCCCACCUCCUGAUAUUUCCUCCUCCGGAGACCCCUCUCUAUAAUUUUGCCCUUGAACAGCUGAUGGAAGAGCGUCCAUACUUGCGUCAUAUUGUGGGCGUGGCCUACAAUGCAACAAGCUUGAUGGAUACCUAUGCAUAUAACGACAUCAAAACAGGCUGAAAAGCGUUUUCUGCAGAAAUAAUUAUUCAGAUUUGCUAUCAUUUUUUAGAAGCAAAGGUCAGCAUUUUAUUUCCACAAGUUCAUUCAAAUUCAUAAAAAGGUUAAAUCACGAAAUACAAGGGGAUUGAUAUCACAACUAAAGGACAAAGAAAGAUUUUACUGUGAUGUGUACAGAAAAAAAAGUACUUAUAUUACUCUCCUGCACAGCUGCAUAUGUAUGAUGGCUUUGGAAACUCAGAGCACGUUUCCCAUUACAGGCUGCACGUGGACUUCACCUCUCUGUCAUGUGGCAUCAAGUGACCAAAGGGAUUGAAUCAACUGAAUCAGAGCGUGUGUUUUUAGAAUCAACUUGUAGUAUUCAUCAUCAACUUGUAGUAUUCAUCUCUGUCUGCAUGACUGAAACACUUGUGAUAUGUGUUUUUGAUGUCAGUUGGCAUGUUGAGUAGGGCACUGCCAGACACACAUUGUUGAUUAUAUGUGCACAACUUGAAAAGACCUGGCUCUAUUAAAAAAAAAAUCAAUAGUAGAAAAGAGGAUAUCUGCACAUUCACAUUCAGAUGGUGGAAAUUUUUCAUUUAAUGUGCAAAGCUUUUAGUCCUUUAGGGCUAGGGUGUGCUCAUCAAACAAUGAACAGGCAGGUUUGAAUAAAUCUACUUUGAUGCAUCAUACCUGAGCCAAAACUACUCGCCCGUCUGCCUUACUGAGAGGGCUUAAUGGUUCAUUCCACCCUAAGUAAGUCCAGAAAAUAUCUUGUACUGUUAUAACUUGCAUGGUAGCAACCAAAUGUAUGUUAAUAUCACUUUGAGAGUGAGUUAAAGAUGAUUUCAGCAGAGUAUCAAGCACUUUAUUUUAUUUUAACUGAAAAGUGUAAGCAAAUCUUUACAUCUCCUUGUGCAUAUGUUUAUGUGUAAAAGAGGUGUGUGUUAUAUUAAAUAUAGCUUAAACUAAAAUUUAAUGUCUUACCUUCUGUGAUAAUGUUAAAGUUAUCGAAGUUUUUAAUGGGUCUUUGUGUAAUAGAGGUGUGUAUGUGCAAGGUCAACUCAGGCUGUGAUAAAGGAGCCUGUUGCGAAAGCUUGUCAUCAGACCUGGACUUCUGAGAGAUGCCCCAACUUAUACAAGAAUUUUCACAACAUCUGUUUUUUUUAAAACCCAUCUAAAAAACCCCUUUUAUUCCUUGGCUUUUGACCCAGCAUGAGACGGCAUUUAUUUUAUUGUUUUUUAUUGUUUUAGUGCUUUUUUUAUUGCUUUUUAUUGUAUUUUAACACAACUAUUUAUUGUUAUUUUAUGUUUUUAUGUUAUGUACAGCAC